ACAAGUGUUUAAAAACAAUGUCCAAACACCACACAGCCUUGUGAGUAACAGCCGGGAGUUAUAGAUCCGUUGGCGGCCACUUCCUCCACCGCGCGGGGACAGCCAGGGGGGUGUUGAGCUGUUGGACCCGUCGCGACAUUUUUUAUAUAAACAAAUGUAAACAUACAUAUUUUAUAUUAUUAAAAUUUAUAUUAAAUGCUGCAGGUGGGCAGUGGAGAUUGUCGCAACGAGUACAACGGCCCACAUCAACACUGGCACGGCCAGGAGUGCGGUGAAAAGGGGGGACCAACAACGGAUCGAUAGUGGUUAUACAGUCUUUGUGUUAUCCCUUGUCUUUAAAUGUACCAACAUGUGUUAUCUUUGGGGCCGACAACCGCCACGUCUCCGCCGUGGCCCUGGGUAACGCAAAGAGCGGUAUAUAAAUGCGCGUAACUUCCACAAUUUUCGUUUACGGAAGCUAAAUUCGGAAGAUUCGGAAACGUCAGGAAAAAAGCUAAAAAACCAUCUAUAAUACAUCAAAAUCGGGACGGCGGCCCUUUUCUAGACAUUUACCACAUUUUCAUUUUUGCUCUCUUUAGGUGCUAGCGAAUUUUUAGUUUUUUGAAGUUUCACGCCUUGGAUAGGGGAAAAGUGUCGGUCGCGGGUGUCACUUUCAAAACGGUAUAGAUGGCUCUCACGACAGGUUUCGGACACACGCACAUGCAGAUAUAGCGCUAAAUAAUAUGAAAUUUACCGGGAUUGAUGUACAUUUACUCCAAAAACUGCUUCAACUACGCGUUUGAUGUAGGUUGCGUAUUAAUUGGUGGGGAUUGCAAUGAUUGCGAUGGUGACUGUGUCCACUGAUUAUUGGAAGCUCUUCGAGGAGUACGUGGAGGAGGAUCUUCACAUGGACAACAACA
Molecule: long non-coding RNA, 899 nt
Organism: Fopius arisanus
Lineage: Eukaryota; Metazoa; Arthropoda; Insecta; Hymenoptera; Braconidae
Exons: 2
Source: RefSeq, a predicted model, not a curated record